Molecule: transfer RNA, 84 nt
Filed under: Spirochaetales bacterium
Lineage: Bacteria; Pseudomonadati; Spirochaetota; Spirochaetia; Spirochaetales
Description: tRNA-Leu
Rfam family: tRNA
About the family: Transfer RNA (tRNA) molecules are approximately 80 nucleotides in length. Their secondary structure includes four short double-helical elements and three loops (D, anti-codon, and T loops). Further hydrogen bonds mediate the characteristic L-shaped molecular structure. tRNAs have two regions of fundamental functional importance: the anti-codon, which is responsible for specific mRNA codon recognition, and the 3' end, to which the tRNAs corresponding amino acid is attached (by aminoacyl-tRNA synthetases). tRNAs cope with the degeneracy of the genetic code in two manners: having more than one tRNA (with a specific anti-codon) for a particular amino acid; and 'wobble' base-pairing, i.e. permitting non-standard base-pairing at the 3rd anti-codon position.
Source: RNAcentral
GCUGCGGUGGUGAAAUUGGUAGACACGCAUGGUUGAGGGCCAUGUGGCGGUUACGCUGUGCUGGUUCAAUUCCAGUCCGCAGCA